This 228-nucleotide ribosomal RNA is filed under the name uncultured bacterium. RNAcentral's name for it is "partial 16S ribosomal RNA". It matches the Rfam family "Bacterial small subunit ribosomal RNA", at positions 568 to 795 of the family's 1533-position model. The record is from RNAcentral.
UCCGUAGGUGGAUAAUUAAGUCAGAGGUGAAAUCCUGCAGCUCAACUGUAGAAUUGCCUUUGAUACUGGUUAUCUUGAAUUAUUGUGAAGUAGUUAGAAUAUGUAGUGUAGCGGUGAAAUGCAUAGAUAUUACAUAGAAUACCAAUUGCGAAGGCAGAUUACUAACAAUAUAUUGACACUGAUGGACGAAAGCGUGGGGAGCGAACAGGAUUAGAUACCCUGGUAGUC